This is a long non-coding RNA of Peromyscus eremicus (cactus mouse), 778 nucleotides long. RefSeq lists it as uncharacterized. The record is from RefSeq and is a predicted model, not a curated record. The transcript has 5 exons. NCBI's taxonomy places the organism in Eukaryota, Metazoa, Chordata, Mammalia, Rodentia, Cricetidae.
AUUUUUUUAAGUUUCUUUUGCUUCUUGUGUUUGAAUGAGUUUAAUUUAACACUAGACCACUGACACUGUAAUUCAAAGUAAAGUUUUUUUAUGGCUCUUUUGCCCAUUUUGAGUUAGAGCCCUUAGCCCAUUUUAGCAUAAUGUUAUAAUACAUGACUUGAAAUUUUCAUUACUUAAAGAUUAUGCCAUUUCUAUUAUGUCUUAUGCAGUGAUCAACUAAAACUACAGAGCAGGGCAGGUGGAACAGGAGCCAUUGUGUUGUAAUCCUGUGAUGUCACCACAUUCCUCGCAUUCUCCCCUCCCUGUUCUUAUCAGCUGAUUGAAACAGAAUGCCAGGAACAUGCGGAAUCAGUGUCGAGGUGAUGAGUGAGCAUGGAGAAUGUUCUCUCCACAUCACCAUGGUCCGAAUGCUCUGUGAUUCACCAUUCCCACUUUGACCACGAUUGCUGUGAAGCCUUACCCCACCAUGAGCCUUUUUCCAGUGACUGAUGGAAGCAGAUGCAGAGAUCCACGGCCAAACACCAGGCUGAGCUCCAGGAGUCCAAAGAGAAAGAAGAAGGAUCCUAUGAAUAAGACAUUUUUUAAUGAAAAAGAGAUUCAGUCGCAAAAGUCAUAAAGAAAAACUCUUUACAGGAAUUUAUAAGAACAGAAAUCCCUCAGAGCAGUUUAGCCAUACCAUUUCCUUGAAGUAGAAAAAGCACAUGGCUGGAAGUGGGCUACUCCUGAAGAAAGAGUGCUUUGAUGGAUCAAGGUUCUCCAGCCUCUUUAUGCAAGAAGC